GCCUACGGGGCGCAGCAGUGAGGAAUAUUGGUCAAUGGGCUUACGCCUGAACCAGCCAAGUCGCGUGAGGGAAGACUGCCCUAUGGGUUGUAAACCUCUUUUGUCAGGGAGCAAUUGGCGCUACGUGUAGCGUUAUCGAGAGUACCUGAAGAAAAAGCAUCGGCUAACUCCGUGCCAGCAGCCGCGGUAAUACGGAGGAUGCGAGCGUUAUCCGGAUUUAUUGGGUUUAAAGGGUGCGCAGGCGGACCAUCAAGUCAGCGGUAAAAUCGUGGGGCCCAACCCCAUCCCGCCGUUGAAACUGGCGG
Molecule: ribosomal RNA, 305 nt
Filed under: uncultured bacterium
Lineage: Bacteria
Description: bacterial SSU rRNA
Rfam family: Bacterial small subunit ribosomal RNA
Source: RNAcentral